RNAcentral lists this long non-coding RNA (1432 nucleotides) under Hordeum vulgare. RNAcentral's name for it is "long non-coding RNA (HVUL_LNC008828)". The record is from RNAcentral. Lineage: Eukaryota; Viridiplantae; Streptophyta; Magnoliopsida; Poales; Poaceae.
CCAUAAUGAUGUCCUGAAUACUAUACGGAAUGUGAAACAACAUUACUUACAUUAAUUUGAAUGGAGCUGACUUUUAAAAACCUGGUUGUUUAUGUUCAGGUUGUUACUGUUGAGCAAGAGUUGUGAUUUGGAAGGUAUGAUGUGAUUCUCUAUCAUCUCUGGUUUCCUUUGGCUUGUCCACUUAGAUCCAUGGUCAUUAGUAUUUUCUUCCUCAAAAUUUAACUGCUGGCACUUCCAGAUAUUCCAAGCUUAUGAUGUUUUCUUUGUUUGUUUUUGUGUCAAUAUUUGAAUAUUUGCCUUGAAAUAUGAAAGAUUAUAGUUUCAUUUAUGAGUAUGAUGCAUGAUUAUCACUUAUAAAGUUUCAUACUUGUACCGAUAUCUUACUUAACUUAAAUCUCAGUUCGGUUUCAAGAAUACUUUGUUGAAUUCUCAUUGGUUUCAUGGUUUCUACAAAAUAAAACAUCCACUUUACUUCUGAACUUCUAAUCGGUAUCAUGGUUUUUAGGAAACGAAAUACAUCCACUUUUUCAAUCACUCAAGAUGGAUAUGUAUGCAGUUUCCCUGAAAGUUAAGUCUGAAGUAGUCAACAUUACGUAUUCAUAGAUGAACUUGUCUAGUGGACUUGAACUUUGAUUAGUGAAAAGAUAUUUUUUAACUUUGUAAGUUUUAUUCACACAUUUUUGUGACUUAGAAAGCAUACCAUACAACUUCUUUUUGAAAAUGACCGAGGCUCUGAUCAUGUAUGGAUCCAAGUGCACCACCUUCCACUCAAUUUUGGAGAAAUAUGAUAGUCCCUAUCAUUGUUUUUUCCUUUUCCUUUAUUAUAGCUUGCUCAUUUCGCAUUUUUGUAUAAACAUUGUGUGCUAUUUUUUUCCUUCACUUCAGCCUUUUGCUACCAUGAAUGUGAAAUAUACUUUUGCUACCAUAGUUUAGGGCAUAAGUCGAUGCUAUUUAAAUGUACACACAGUAAGUUUGAACUUAAAAGCCGAGGUUGUCAAGUCUGAAAUCAACCAUCAGCAUUUUACAUUUUGACCUUGUAAAGUUUUAUUUUAACUGCAAAUGGACAUGCAUUUGUUUUCUUAGGAUAAUUUGGUAUGUACUAUAUUGUAUUGUUUCUUUUUCUCCUCUCUCAAUUAUUUAACUUUAGGGUGUGUUACCACAUGAUCAUGGUGUAGAUUUAUCCUUUUCCCUUGUUUGAUUUACUCAUGUUUCAUUUAGCUGUGUUAGUGAUCAUAUCUAGGAGAUUGAUUUAUUAUAUUUUUAUUUCCAUUUAGCAUGUAGGGGUCUAAGAUAGAGGAUGCUAGGAAAUAUGAUCAGUUCUCGUCUUUCAGGUCCCUCAUGCUUCUAUUUUGCCAGCGACGCAAUCAUCUUCUUCAAGCCAGACAACAAAGACCAAGAGGUGAUUCUUCGCAUCCUGGACAUUUUCAUUUGC